GGUUAAGCGACUAAGCGUACACGGUGGAUGCCCUGGCAGUCAGAGGCGAUGAAGGACGUGCUAAUCUGCGAAAAGCGCCGGCGAGGUGAUAUGAACCCUUGACCCGGCGAUGUCCGAAUGGGGAAACCCAGUGCAAUCCGUUGCACUAUCGUUAACUGAAUACAUAGGUUAACGAGGCGAACCGGGGGAACUGAAACAUCUAAGUACCCCGAGGAAAAGAAAUCAACCGAGAUUCCCCCAGUAGCGGCGAGCGAACGGGGAGCAGCCCGGAGUCUGAAUCAGCUUGUGUGUUAGUGGAACGGUCUGGAAAGUCCGACGGUACAGGGUGAUAGUCCCGUACACGAAAGCACACUUGCUGUGAACUCGAAGAGUAGGGCGGGACACGUGGUAUCCUGUCUGAAUAUGGGGGGACCAUCCUCCAAGGCUAAAUACUCCUGACUGACCGAUAGUGAACCAGUACCGUGAGGGAAAGGCGAAAAGAACCCCGGCGAGGGGAGUGAAAAAGAACCUGAAACCGUGUACGUACAAGCAGUGGGAGCACCUUCGGGUGUGACUGCGUACCUUUUGUAUAAUGGGUCAGCGACUUAUAUUCUGUAGCAAGGUUAACCGUAUAGGGGAGCCGAAGGGAAACCGAGUCUUAACUGGGCGUUAAGUUGCAGGGUAUAGACCCGAAACCCGGUGAUCUAGCCAUGGGCAGGUUGAAGGUUGGGUAACACUAACUGGAGGACCGAACCGACUAAUGUUGAAAAAUUAGCGGAUGACCUGUGGCUGGGGGUGAAAGGCCAAUCAAACCGGGAGAUAGCUGGUUCUCCCCGAAAGCUAUUUAGGUAGCGCCUCGUGAACUCAUCUUCGGGGGUAGAGCACUGUUUCGGCUAGGGGGCCAUCCCGGCUUACCAACCCGAUGCAAACUACGAAUACCGAAGAAUGUUAUCACGGGAGACACACGGCGGGUGCUAACGUCCGUCGUGAAGAGGGAAACAACCCAGACCGCCAGCUAAGGUCCCAAAGUCAUGGUUAAGUGGGAAACGAUGUGGGAAGGCACAGACAGCCAGGAUGUUGGCUUAGAAGCAGCCAUCAUUUAAAGAAAGCGUAAUAGCUCACUGGUCGAGUCGGCCUGCGCGGAAGAUGUAACGGGGCUAAACCAUGCACCGAAGCUGCGGCAGCGAC
Molecule: ribosomal RNA, 1167 nt
Filed under: Enterobacter hormaechei
Lineage: Bacteria; Pseudomonadati; Pseudomonadota; Gammaproteobacteria; Enterobacterales; Enterobacteriaceae
Description: partial 23S ribosomal RNA
Rfam family: Bacterial large subunit ribosomal RNA
Source: RNAcentral